This 1439-nucleotide long non-coding RNA is filed under the name Gallus gallus (chicken). Lineage: Eukaryota; Metazoa; Chordata; Aves; Galliformes; Phasianidae. The record is from RNAcentral.
GGAAACCUUUCUCUCGAAGUCUCUUUGAUCUACGAGGCCUGGCGCGCUGUGAGCCCGAGUGCGUGAGGGGCCCGUCGGCUGCGGGAGCCCCCUAGCUGGGACAUGAAAGGAAAAAAAAAAGGGCUGCCAGAGUACGGGGAUCGACUGAAGGGCUCAAAUAUUUCAUAUUCCUGGUAGCUGUCAAGUCCAAAAGCAACAAUUCGCCUCCCGCCGGCUGUUUGCAGAGGGCAGCGGAGUGUGUGCGCGCGAGGGGCCGGAGCGCACCGUGCACCGCGGCCGGGAAGGGGGAAGAGGGCCGUAAAUUUGCACUUGUAAUCAAUCAAUAAUUAACUAAUAACAGAGCGUGGGCCGAGCGGGCCCGGCAGGACGGCGACAGGAGCGGCCGGGCCCCGUGAAGGUGGCUCCCGUGCCUCUCCUAUCACUCCACACCCCCAUCCCCGAGCUGCUCCGGUCCCACUGCCCCUCUCCGGGGCCGGCCCGACCGCCCCAGCGCCGCUUUCCCAUAGACUUUGUACCAGCGGCCAAAAUUCCCCUGGGUAAAACCCGGCAAAACCUGCCACGAGCUCCGCUGCCCGACGAGGGAGGGAGGGCACUUUUUCCCUCUCCGCUCCCCAUUUCCCCACGAGACACCCAUCCCCGGUGGAUGUCCCCGCGUUCCCCACCCAGGGUCCCCUCGGGGCCGCCCCGCACUGCCCCAGCUGCCCAAGAGAUGGCGCCGCCGCCUCGCUGGACCCCCCCGGCGCCGAGCCCCCACCCCCCCAGCGCCGGGUCGCCUGCAUCAGCCAUAAAACCAUUGAGGAUAUCAAGACAGGCGCCAGGACCCAGAGGCAGCAGGCCGAGGAGCAGGCAGAGCAUAAAACAGGAUCCGGGCUGGAAGUACAUCCUUAUAAUAUUUAUUACUGGCGGAGGAUGAAUCACUUUCCAAUAUACGGGCCACUAACUGUUGAAGGGGGGGAAAUCUCUUUAACGAGGAGGAAUAUAUAUGUUGUGCUUAGGGAUGUGCUCACGGGCUGGCAGCGCUGCAGGCAGGGGCUGCCAGCUCCUUGCUCUGCUCCCGGUGACCGCCCAGCCCACGUCUGCCCCCAGCACCACGCCGCUCCACAGCUUAUUCUCAGCGUCUCCUCAGCCCCACAGCACAAAGGGGGGAACCCUACGAGGACCCCCUCCAGCCCCCCGGCCGGGUGCUGACUGGAAGGAUCCAUCCCGUGCCCGGACAGCGCCAUAACCUCAGCGGUUCGGGAACUCUUUACCUGGAAACUUUUGAGGGGAGGAUUCUGCAUUAAAUUUUAACCGAUCUAUUCUCCGAUUCUUCACUUUUGCUUUAUUAAUUUAUGACAGAUAAAAGCAUCGCUGAGCCGUUCUCAUUAACUUUUCAAACGCCACUUAAUCUCGUUCCAUUAAAAGAGGUGACUUAGUACCCUCUGGAUCCGCUUUAAAAG